AGGUUUGUAGCUCAAUGGGAGAGUCCUUGUAUAACCGAGGGGGUUCUUGGUUCGACUCCAAGUAAGCCUG
Molecule: transfer RNA, 70 nt
Filed under: Caudoviricetes sp.
Lineage: Duplodnaviria; Heunggongvirae; Uroviricota; Caudoviricetes
Description: tRNA-OTHER
Rfam family: tRNA
About the family: Transfer RNA (tRNA) molecules are approximately 80 nucleotides in length.
Source: RNAcentral